AUGUCCUUAAUGGUAAGAAAGUACAACUUUACAAUGAGAUUUUGAGAAAUAUCACUAGUAAUUUUGGUCAUGUUUUAGUGCUGACCCCAAAAUGUUUUAGUAGUUAACUCUGCUUUUUAAGCUACUUUAGAACAAAUCAGCUUCAAUUUCCAAGACUAAAAAAUGAUGCUGUUAUAAAACUAUGUUCAAGAACUGCAAAUCAUUUUGGCCUGGAAAUAAAUGUUUAAAGAUUUUAGGUGCUCAUUUUUAAAAGUAUCUGAGCCCUGUUUGUUAUUUUUUAAUGUAAAAUUUGAAGAUAUAAUUUGAUUAAGGGCUAUUGGAUUUUCUUUUUGAAUAAAUGACCAUCAGACUAAAAAUGAGGCAAGAACAGACAGUGAAAUAUAUAGCACUAUGUGCAGGACUUCCUUUUCUUUCUUUCUUUUCUUUACUUUUUUUCUUUUCUUUUUGAGGUGGGUGCUUAAAAUGAACAAUUAAGAAAACUGUUGGGAAAUCCAGCUUAGGUGCAUCUAUGAAAAAUAUCAGCUCCCCGGAAUAAACAGAGGCUAAAACCUUCCACAGAGAAAAUAACAAUAACAGGCCAAAAAAAAAAAAGACAUGGGAAUCAGAUUUGCGUCAGAUGCCAAUGGGGCAGUGCCUUUAAAGUGCUGAGAGAAAUUGAUUUCAAAUGAGAACUCUAUACUCAGCUAAACUGUAAACCACAAAGGGAAAGUACUGACAUUUCCACACAUGUAAGAACUCAAAAAAUUUACAUCCCAAAUACCCUUUUCUCAUCCUUACUUUUAAAGGUUGGAAUCCGGUAAUUUAAGAAAGAGGACGACAUGGGAUCCAGGAAACAGGAGAACAAUGAAGGGAUGUCUUAUGGCAUCUCUUUAGUAGGCCUAAAGAGGAACCAGUCAAGAUGGAAGAUUUGGGAGGGAAAACUCCAGGAAAAAAAGGAAUGUAACAGAAUAGAAGGUGAAAUGGAAAGAGAAGAGGUACAUAGUUAUACCGGACACUUACAUUUCAAAGUGCGAAAUUUACCUGAGCACCUGAUCCACCUCAGCCUGGUUGGAAGGAGCUAAGCCCUGAAGCUCCUCGGUGAUGGUUUCGUUGACCCACCGCACCGCAGUGCUGACGGCAUCUGACCUUUCUAAUUCCUCUGCUUCAGCUAGCUCGGGUAAAGCGUUCUCAUGGACUUCGAAGCACCGGAUAUUUUAAUGGUGAAGACUUAUGCAGAGGCUGUAUUUCACUUACCAUCAGAUCCUGUGUAGAACUACAUGUUCAGAGAGGAUUG
Molecule: long non-coding RNA, 1273 nt
Organism: Orcinus orca (killer whale)
Lineage: Eukaryota; Metazoa; Chordata; Mammalia; Artiodactyla; Delphinidae
Exons: 3
Source: RefSeq, a predicted model, not a curated record